Molecule: ribosomal RNA, 1323 nt
Filed under: metagenome
Description: bacterial LSU rRNA
Rfam family: Bacterial large subunit ribosomal RNA
Source: RNAcentral
AGUGGAUGGGGAGCAACCUAGUUGUGCGUGUGUAAAGGUAGUGCCAAGAAAAGCGGUGAUCAUGAUGAAAAUCAAUUCCCGGUACCCGAAACCGACACAGGUGGGCAAGUAGAGAAUACUAAGGGGCGCGAGGUAACUCUCUCCAAGGAACUCGGCAAAAUGACCCCGUAACUUAGGGAGAAGGGGUGCCACCGAGAGGUGGUCGCAGUGAAGAGGCCCAGGCGACUGUUUAGCAAAAACAUAGGUCUCUGCAAACUCGAAAGAGGAGGUAUAGGGGCUGACGCCUGCCCAGUGCCGGAAGGUUAAAGAAGUUGGUCAGUCUUAGGAUAAAGCUAGCGACUGAAGCCCCGGUGAACGGCGGCCGUAACUAUAACGGUCCUAAGGUAGCGAAAUUCCUUGUCGGGUAAGUUCCGACCCGCACGAAAGGCGUAACGAUCUGGGCGCUGUCUCGGAGAGAGGCUCGGCGAAAUAGGAUUGUCUGUGAAGAUACGGACUACCUGCAUUUGGACAGAAAGACCCUAUGAAGCUUUACUAUAGCUUGGAAUUGUGUUCGGGCUUCCUGUGCGCAGGAUAGGUGGGAGGCGAAGAAGGUAUUCUUGUGGGGAUACUGGAGCCAACGGUGAGAUACCACUCUCAGGAGGCUAGAAUUCUAACUUAAUUAAGGACAGUUUCAGGUGGGUAGUUUGACUGGGGCGGCCGCCUCCAAAAAGGUAACGGAGGCGUACAAAGGUUCCCUCAGACUGGUUGGAAAUCAGUCGCAGAGUGCAAAGGCAGAAGGGAGCUUGACUGCGAGAAGUACAGUUCGAGCAGGGUGGAAACACGGUCUUAGUGAUCCGACGGUGCUGUGUGGAAGGGCCGUCGCUCAACGGAUAAAAGUUACUCUAGGAUAACAGGCUGAUCUCCCCCAAGAGUUCACAUCGACGGGGAGGUUUGGCACCUCGAUGUCGGCUCAUCGCAACCUGGGGCGGAAGUACGUCCCAAGGGUUGGGCUGUUCGCCCAUUAAAGCGGUACGUGAGCUGGGUUCAGAACGUCGUGAGACAGUUCGGUCCAUAUCCGAUGUAGGCGUGAGAAUAUUGAGAGGAGCCUUCCUUAGUACGAGAGGACCGGGAAGGACGCACCGCUGGUGUACCUGUUAUGAUGCCAAUUGUAAACGCAGGGUAGCCAAGUGCGGAGAGGAUAACCGCUGAAAGCAUCUAAGUGGGAAGCCCACCUCAAGAUGAGUAUUCUGGUGUAAGGUCACGGGAAGACGACCCGUAAAUAGGCACGAGGUGGAAGUGCAGAGAUGUAUGAAGCCGAAGUGUACUAAUAGACCGUCGGCUUGA